UUUAACUGAAGAGUUUGAUCAUGGCUCAGAUUGAACGCUGGCGGCAGGCUUAACACAUGCAAGUCGAGCGGGGGAAGGUAGCUUGCUACUGGACCUAGCGGCGGACGGGUGAGUAAUGCUUAGGAAUCUGCCUAUUAGUGGGGGACAACAUCUCGAAAGGGAUGCUAAU
RNAcentral lists this ribosomal RNA (169 nucleotides) under Acinetobacter baumannii. RNAcentral describes it as "partial 16S ribosomal RNA". It matches the Rfam family "Bacterial small subunit ribosomal RNA", at positions 1 to 167 of the family's 1533-position model. The record is from RNAcentral. Lineage: Bacteria; Pseudomonadati; Pseudomonadota; Gammaproteobacteria; Moraxellales; Moraxellaceae.